CUACGUCCAUAUCACGUUGAAAACACCGGUUCUCAUCCGUUCACCGAAGUUAAGCAACGUCAAGUCCGGUUAGUACUUGGAUGGGUGACCGCCUGGGAAUACAGGGUGUUGUAG
This 114-nucleotide ribosomal RNA is filed under the name Mytilus edulis (blue mussel). The record is from RNAcentral. Lineage: Eukaryota; Metazoa; Mollusca; Bivalvia; Mytilida; Mytilidae.